This 500-nucleotide ribosomal RNA is filed under the name uncultured bacterium. RNAcentral's name for it is "bacterial SSU rRNA". It matches the Rfam family "Bacterial small subunit ribosomal RNA", at positions 898 to 1398 of the family's 1533-position model. The record is from RNAcentral.
AACUCAAAGGAAUUGACGGGGGCCCGCACAAGCGGUGGAUGAUGUGGUUCAAUUCGAUGCAACGCGAAAAACCUUACCUACCCUUGACAUGCCAGGAAGCCUAAUGAAAGUCGGGUGUGCCCGAAAGGGAACCUGGACACAGGUGCUGCAUGGCUGUCGUCAGCUCGUGUCGUGAGAUGUUGGGUUAAGUCCCGCAACGAGCGCAACCCUUGCCACUAGUUGCUACAUUCAGUUGGGCACUCUAGUGGGACUGCCGGUGACAAACCGGAGGAAGGUGGGGACGACGUCAAGUCCUCAUGGCCCUUAUGGGUAGGGCUACACACGUCAUACAAUGGCGCAUACAGAGGGCUGCCAACCCGCGAGGGGGAGCAAAUCCCAGAAAGUGCGUCGUAGUCCGGAUUGAAGUCUGCAACUCGACUUCAUGAAGUCGGAAUCGCUAGUAAUCGCGGAUCAGCAUGUCGCGGUGAAUACGUUCCCGGGCCUUGUACACACCGCCCGUC